RNAcentral lists this unclassified non-coding RNA (409 nucleotides) under Hevea brasiliensis (rubber tree). Lineage: Eukaryota; Viridiplantae; Streptophyta; Magnoliopsida; Malpighiales; Euphorbiaceae. The record is from RNAcentral.
AGAGUGGGAUGAGGUGGAGAAGUAUUUAUCUGGGUUUACUAAGGUAGAUGAUAAUCGGUACUCAAUGAAAAUAUUUUUUGAGAUCCGAAAACAGAAGUAUCUGGAAGCACUUGAUAGGCAUGAUCAGGCUAAGGCUGUGGAGAUUCUAGUGAAAGAUCUGAAAGUGUUUUCCACAUUUAAUGAAGAGUUGUUCAAGGAGAUAACGCUCCUCUUGACAUUGCAGAAUUUUAGGGAGAAUGAACAGCUUUCAAAGUAUGGAGAUACCAAGUCUGCUAGGGCGAUAAUGCUUGUUGAGUUAAAAAAAUUGAUCGAGGCCAAUCCUCUUUUCCGCGAGAAGCUUCAGUUUCCUAGCUUAAAGAACUCAAGGCUGCGGACAUUGAUAAACCAGAGUUUAAAUUGGCAGCAUCAG